CUAACACAUGCAAGUCGAACGAGGGCUCGGCCCUAGUGGCGCACGGGUGAGUAACGCGUGGGAACCUGCCCUGUGGUACGGAAUAACUCCGGGAAACUGGAGCUAAUACCGUAUGCGUCCUUUGGGACAAAGAUUUAUCGCCAUGGGAUGGGCCCGCGUAGGAUUAGCUUGUUGGUGGGGUAACGGCCUACCAAGGCAACGAUCCUUAGCUGGUCUGAGAGGAUGAUCAGCCACACUGGGACUGAGACACGGCCCAGACUCCUACGGGAGGCAGCAGUGGGGAAUAUUGGACAAUGGGCGCAAGCCUGAUCCAGCAAUGCCGCGUGAGUGAUGAAGGCCUUCGGGUUGUAAAGCUCUUUCGCACGCGACGAUGAUGACGGUAGCGUGAGAAGAAGCCCCGGCUAACUUCGUGCCAGCAGCCGCGGUAAUACGAAGGGGGCUAGCGUUGUUCGGAAUUACUGGGCGUAAAGGGCGCGUAGGCGGUACUUCAAGUCAGGCGUGAAAGCCCCGGGCUCAACCUGGGAACCGCGCUUGAGACUGGAGAACUAGAGUUCGGGAGAGGAUGGUGGAAUUCCCAGUGUAGAGGUGAAAUUCGUAGAUAUUGGGAAGACACCGAUGGCGAAGGCAGCCAUCUGGACCGACACUGACGCUGAGGCGC
RNAcentral lists this ribosomal RNA (658 nucleotides) under uncultured Alphaproteobacteria bacterium. Its description in RNAcentral is "bacterial SSU rRNA". It matches the Rfam family "Bacterial small subunit ribosomal RNA", at positions 48 to 754 of the family's 1533-position model. Lineage: Bacteria; Pseudomonadati; Pseudomonadota; Alphaproteobacteria. The record is from RNAcentral.